GAUGAAGAACGCAGCGAAAUGCGAUAAGUAAUGUGAAUUGCAGAAUUCAGUGAAUCAUCGAAUCUUUGAACGCACAUUGCGCCCGCCAGUAUUCUGGCGGGCAUGCCUGUUCGAGCGUCAUUUCAACCCUCAAGCCCAGCUUGGUGUUGGGGAUCGGCACAGGCGCCCUCGGGCGCCCGCCGUCCCCUAAAUCUAGUGGCGGUCCCGCUGCAGCCUCCUCUGCGUAGUAGUUUUCUCCUCGCAAGGGCAGCUCGGUGGCGACCUCGCCGUAAAACCCCCAACUUCUGAAAGGUUGACCUCGAAUCAGGUAGGAAUACCCGCUGAACUUAAGCAUAUCAAAAGCGGAGGA
This 349-nucleotide unclassified non-coding RNA is filed under the name soil metagenome. RNAcentral's name for it is "partial contains 5.8S ribosomal RNA, internal transcribed spacer 2, and large subunit ribosomal RNA". The stretch from base 1 to 120 matches the Rfam family "5.8S ribosomal RNA", at positions 35 to 154 of the family's 154-position model. The record is from RNAcentral.